This 483-nucleotide ribosomal RNA is filed under the name uncultured bacterium. RNAcentral's name for it is "partial 16S ribosomal RNA". It matches the Rfam family "Bacterial small subunit ribosomal RNA", at positions 27 to 507 of the family's 1533-position model. The record is from RNAcentral.
GGACGAACGCUGGCGGCGUGCUUAACACAUGCAAGUCGAACGCUGAAGCUCAGCUUGCUGGGUGGAUGAGUGGCGAACGGGUGAGUAACACGUGAGUAACCUGCCCUCUUCUUUGGGAUAACGCCCGGAAACGGGUGCUAAUACUGGAUAUUCACUGAUUCUCGCAUGGGGGUUGGUGGAAAGGUUUUUUCUGGUGGGGGAUGGGCUCGCGGCCUAUCAGCUUGUUGGUGGGGUGAUGGCCUACCAAGGCUUUGACGGGUAGCCGGCCUGAGAGGGUGACCGGUCACAUUGGGACUGAGAUACGGCCCAGACUCCUACGGGAGGCAGCAGUGGGGAAUAUUGCACAAUGGGCGAAAGCCUGAUGCAGCGACGCCGCGUGAGGGAUGGAGGCCUUCGGGUUGUAAACCUCUUUCGCUCAUGGUCAAGCCGCAGCUUUGGGUUGUGGUGAGGGUAGUGGGUAAAGAAGCGCCGGCUAACUACGUG